GCGCCAGUGGUUUAGUGGUAAAAUCCAUCGUUGCAUCGAUGGGCCCCGCGUUCGAUUCGCGGCUGGCGCA
Molecule: transfer RNA, 70 nt
Filed under: Cercophora newfieldiana
Lineage: Eukaryota; Fungi; Ascomycota; Sordariomycetes; Sordariales; Lasiosphaeriaceae
Description: tRNA-OTHER
Source: RNAcentral